ACGCACGCUGGCGGCGUGCUUAACACAUGCAAGUCGAACGGAAAGGCCCUGCUUUUGUGGGGUGCUCGAGUGGCGAACGGGUGAGUAACACGUGAGUAACCUGCCCUUGACUUUGGGAUAACUUCAGGAAACUGUGGCUAAUACCGGAUAGGAGCUCCUGCUGCAUGGUGGGGGUUGGAAAGUUUCGGCGGUUGGGGAUGGACUCGCGGCUUAUCAGCUUGUUGGUGGGGUAGUGGCUUACCAAGGCUUUGACGGGUAGCCGGCCUGAGAGGGUGACCGGCCACAUUGGGACUGAGAUACGGCCCAGACUCCUACGGGAGGCAGCAGUGGGGAAUAUUGCACAAUGGGCGGAAGCCUGAUGCAGCAACGCCGCGUGCGGGAUGACGGCCUUCGGGUUGUAAACCGCUUUCGCCUGUGACGAAGCGUGAGUGACGGUAAUGGGUAAAGAAGCACCGGCUAACUACGUG
This 467-nucleotide ribosomal RNA is filed under the name uncultured bacterium. RNAcentral describes it as "partial 16S ribosomal RNA". It matches the Rfam family "Bacterial small subunit ribosomal RNA", at positions 29 to 507 of the family's 1533-position model. The record is from RNAcentral.